Molecule: long non-coding RNA, 1701 nt
Filed under: Nicotiana tabacum (common tobacco)
Lineage: Eukaryota; Viridiplantae; Streptophyta; Magnoliopsida; Solanales; Solanaceae
Description: long non-coding RNA (NTAB_LNC011616)
Source: RNAcentral
UAAAAAUAUAGUAACCCACACUGUGUCAGUCAGGAGACAAUACAAGACUUGCUUGAUUAUCAUCAAUGCAGAGGAAAAUUAUAGAGGAAAACUCAAGUUACAAGGUAUGUAGAUAUAUCCAAACUUUACCUAUGUACGUGGCUUUGGAUUAUAAAGAGAUUAUGGAUUAUACCUAAUAACUAAUUAAUGAUUGAGGGGAGGGGCAAAGUAUUGUUUUAACAGAUACUAUGAAAAUUAAACUAUUUCACUGAUAUAUCGAUUUCUGCCUCUUUGAAUUUAGGGAUACAAUGAUUAAUCAAUCAUUACGUAAUGAUGAGAGGAAUUGUGAUGACAAUUUAGUGUAUUGUGUACAUGAUGGAUACAAAAAUGGGUUUCAACGUGACUAUUCGAUAACAUGAUUAGCCAGUUCGAAUCUGUAGGAUUAUGUAUAAAAUUGUGGCUUCGGUUUCAAGUGCAAAUACAUAUUUUUCCUUAUGAAUAUUAUUUUGGGACUCGAAUUUUCAUAUAUUGGACUUGGAUAUUAAAUAUUGAGUUUAGAUUGAGAUAUUGGAAUAUGUCUUUAUCUUUUAAAAAAAUAAUAUUUAAUAGGUAGAAUAUUAAAAUAUUGCUCUAGGUUUGAAAGUUAGGAAUAUUGAGAUUACCUCGACUAGAAUCAUUUAUAUUGUUAUUCUAUAUUUUGGAUAGAUUGAGGUCAUUGAAGGCCGUUUGGUUGAUGUUAUAGACAUCGCAAGGUUGGGAAACUUCCCAUUCGCGAGGUAAGUGAGACUUUAAGCUUUGGAUGCUUGCUUUUCCAAAAUCCCUUUUGAAAGUAUGUUUUUUUCUGCCCGGUCCAUGUGUUGGGACAAGCGUGCGCUUGGCAGAAUCGGUGGUCGUCGACCAGCCGCAAAUAUAUAUUAUUUUGUAAAAAGCUAAAAAAAUUUAAUGAGUGAUUUGUGAUGUGGUGUGAUGUGGCGUAGCCUCGUGCAAUGUCGUUGGGGCGUUAGAAUUUAUUCCUUCACUGCCGUAACAUAUUUUGGGGAAUUGUGUAUACCGCCGUUAUAAAUUUGGGGCAUUGUGUAUGUCGCCGAUAUAAAAUUUGGGGAAUUGUGUAAGCCGCCGUUAUAAAAUUUGGGGCAUUGUGUAUGCCGCCGUUAUAAAAUUGGGGCAUUCUGUAUGCUGCCGUGGACUCGUCGGGGUGUUUGGUCAAUUUCCUGCACUACCGUUAAUGACAAAUCCUUAAUGUAGAUUGUGUUGAGAUAUAAAUAGUGUUGUUGUUGAAUAAUUGUUUGGACCUUAGAGAGUAAUUAUACGGUGAAAGAAUUUCUGUGCAUAUUUGUGUGUUUGUAUUUUCUAACACUUGUUCCUGAGGUAUUCAGAGUGGCGGGUCGAUGAUUUUACUGGGUUAUAUUUACGUAUAACUCACUCCUUACCUGCAUAUCCAUGCAGAUACUAUUGGUGAAGACGGAGCUUGUAGCUGACGAGUUCGCUAGAGUUGAUUCAGUCAUUGAGGUGAGCCACCGCAUUGUUCAUGGAGGCUGCCCAAAGAGUCUUUAUCAUUUAUUCAUAUGAGGUCUUUUGUAAUUCUCUUAGAUACUCCAUGGUCUAGUGUGGGAUUUGAGUUAGAGUGUUAAUUUUAUAUUUUGAGAUAUUAAUUGUUCAUAAUAGUAAUCAGAUUAUUUGGAUACUCAUUUAAUUAAUCAAAUGUUGUCAAUUUAUGGUUAA